CGACAGGCCCUAUACGAUUGAGGCCUGUGAAUCAUGUCAGGCAGGGAACUGAGCAGCAUUAAGCAGUGUUCUCGAUGCGAUAUAGUAAGUCUGCCGUUC
Molecule: non-coding RNA, 99 nt
Organism: Eubacterium sp. CAG:581
Lineage: Bacteria; Bacillati; Bacillota; Clostridia; Eubacteriales; Eubacteriaceae
Source: Rfam